UUCUCAAAAACAUUUGGGUUCGUUUUGAGUUUUGACCAUGGGGUUAUCCACUCCGGGAGAAACCACUCUAGGCAUUACAGGUCUGCUCUCUCUCUCUCUCUCUCUCUCUGCUUGCAUUCAGUCUAUUUUCCUAUGAAAUCAAUUUUGUUGUCCCGUGAAAUCUGAAUAUUAAUGUUCGGUUGUUCCAAAUCGCAGGUUUAUCUGAAGAAUUUAAUGAGAUCGGUAUAACAUUGAUUAUGUUGGUGUGAGAGGAAGGGGGAGCUCGGUGGUUGUUAGGGCCCGAUCGGCGGCUGGUCGUGGCCGUUCUCUAGGUCGCGGUCGCGGAAGAAGGGGAAGAUCUCGAUAAAACCGCUGCCUUCGCCGGAGAUGAAUCAUCCGGUAAAACCCGCCACCAUACCACCACCCCGACCCGACCCGGCUGGCGGAGAACCGGAAUCCGGCAGGCGGGCGGACGGUUGGGGGAGCUGUGAGCGACAGGGAAGGAGAGAGUUUGUGAGAGUUGGACUGCUGCAAUCAAAACAGGUUGUGAGGGUUCCUUGGCGGAAGGAAUCGCCCUCUGGAGAGAGUUUGUACUGCCCUCUGGGAAGGAGAGAGUUUGUGAGAGUUGGACUGCUGCAAUCAAAACAGGCUGUGAGGGUUCCUUGGCGGAAGGAAUCACCAGAGGGCGAUCACGAAUCGGAGGGCGAAAAUUUGAAUGCCUUAACAAUUAUUGUAAAGAUGAUCUAUUUAUAUAUAGCUACAAAGGCUACAAUGUCAACAAGAUAGAGAAAAUAUAAUAUAAAAGUGAGUCAAUUAAGAAAAUUCGUAUAUUUUGAAUAAAUAAAAAUAUUUAGACCUAAUAAUAAUUGUGUAUGUAUAUAUAUAUACAUGCUCGUGUCCGUUUAGAGGCGGACAUCAGCACAAUCUCUAAGUGCGGAUGUCUUUGAUUUCUCCAUCUUCAGGCGUCGAUGACUGCGUUUCUCUUGCCGGAUGAACAGUAGAGGCUUCUGGGACGGCGUUGACAUGAAAAAGAAGGUCAAGGAGAUCGGAAUCGGAGCUCUGGGCAACAACCUCACUGAAAAUUUCAAGACUGAUCAAGGUUAGCUGCAAACUUGUUGCCUGCGAGUCCACCGGCAAAAGGAAUAAGCUCACAUCAUUAGAUCUGUUUUUUAAUGCGCUUGUAUUGCUGUGAUUAAAAUAAAUAAAAACUUAACACUUAUGUCAAACCUACACCGUUCAAGAUCAUUAAAAAUAAAUCAAACAUUUAGAUGACUUAACGAACACCAAAUUUACAUAAGUGAUAUACUUAUAUACACCUACAAACUAAACGGUGAAGAUGUGAUUUAGUGAUCGGAAAGUUUGUCAAAUAUCCUAUCCCUAGAAAUAAACAAAAAAUAGAUCCCUCAUUGGAAUGGUCAUUGUGAGAUCUAUUUUUUUGCUCAAAUUUAAGAACAAGUCCACACCAUUAGAUCUGUUUUUAAUGAGCUUAGAUGACUGAGAUUAAAACAAAACUUAAACACUUUAUACCGUUCAACAUCAUUAAAAAUAAAUCAAACUUUGGGUGACUUAAUGAUCACCAAAUUUUUUGAAAAUUUGUACAGGUGAUAGACUCAUAUAGUACUACAAAUUGAACGGUAGAGAUGUGAUUUUAUGAUCGGUAAGUUUGUCAAAUACUCUAUCACUAGAUUUGAACAAAAUAAGGGAUCCCUCAAAAUCAUGAGAUGUUGUAAUUUUGUUAUGAGUAUGUGAUAAAUUAGAAACAUGAUCCAUCGCUCCACUGUCUACGAUCUAAUAUAAUGUAGAAUGAGAUCAAUAUGUGUAACAUUGCAAGUGGGUACG
Molecule: long non-coding RNA, 1818 nt
Filed under: Fragaria vesca (wild strawberry)
Lineage: Eukaryota; Viridiplantae; Streptophyta; Magnoliopsida; Rosales; Rosaceae
Description: long non-coding RNA (FVES_LNC002750)
Source: RNAcentral